UCAGGAUGAACGCUGGCGGCGUGCCUAACACAUGCAAGUCGACGAAGCACUUAGACAGAACCUACGGGUGACGUAUUGGUGACUGAGUGGCGGACGGGUGAGUAACGCGUGGGUAACCUGCCCUGUACAGGGGGAUAACAGUUAGAAAUGACUGCUAAUACCGCAGUAAGCGCACGAUGGUAGCAUUACCAGGUGUGAAAAAACUCCGGUGGUACAGGAUGGGCCCGCGUCUGAUUAGCUAGUUGGCGGGGUAAGAGCCCACCAAGGCGACGAUCAGUAGCCGGUCUGAGAGGAUGAACGGCCACAUUGGAACUGAGACACGGUCCAAACUCCUACGGGAGGCAGCAGUGGGGAAUAUUGCACAAUGGGGGGAACCCUGAUGCAGCAAACCGCCGCGUGAGUGACGAAGUAUUUCGGUAUGUAAAGCUCUAUCAGCAGGGAAGAUAAUGACGGUACCUGACUAAGAAGCUCCGGCUAAAUACGUGCCAGCCGCUGC
RNAcentral lists this ribosomal RNA (496 nucleotides) under uncultured bacterium. RNAcentral describes it as "bacterial SSU rRNA". It matches the Rfam family "Bacterial small subunit ribosomal RNA", at positions 24 to 518 of the family's 1533-position model. The record is from RNAcentral.